Molecule: ribosomal RNA, 253 nt
Filed under: uncultured bacterium
Lineage: Bacteria
Description: partial 16S ribosomal RNA
Rfam family: Bacterial small subunit ribosomal RNA
Source: RNAcentral
UACGUAGGGGGCAAGCGUUGUCCGGAUUUAUUGGGCGUAAAGAGCUCGUAGGCGGCUGUCCACGUCGGAUGUGAAAGCUCAGGGCUCAACCCUGAGAGGCCAUUCGAUACGGGACGGCUAGAGGUAGGUAGGGGAAAGUGGAAUUCCUGGUGUAGCGGUGAAAUGCGUAGAUAUCAGGAGGAAUACCGAUGGCGAAGGCAGGUCUCUGGGCUGACACUGACGCUCAUGCACGAAAGCGUGGGGAGCAAACAGG